GGGGACAUCCCUGUCUGGAAAUAUAGAGUAGAUGCACUUUUCCUGUCCCUCCUGCAAUGUACAAAUAAGAACCCUGGACAUUGUAUAUAAAACAAAUACACUACAAGAAGACUAAGUAGAGAUAAGUAGAGACAAGUAGACAAACUGGCUAGAAACCUUGACCUGAAGAAAUACGUGGUCGUGAAUUCCCUGGGUGUUCUUUUGUCUUCAUAUACCCAGUUUGGGACCUGCAGAAGCAAAAGUCAAAAACAAAAACCCAAGCAACAUCUGCUCUCUCUCUCUCUGGGAGCAGCCUAGUUACACAGAAAACUUUUUAAGAUCAUAACGGUUAUUCUGAAGUCAAAUACCACAGAAUACUGUAUGACUACCUCCAUUGCUUCCAGCAAAGACCAGCUAAGGAAUCUAUACCAUCCUUGCCUGACUGAAAUGAAUGAAGUACCUUAACCACUUUUUCCAGCUGGGGUAGUAUCAGUGGAAGCACUACUGAGGUUCUGAGGAACCUGAACUCCCACAUCUAUGUAGCAGUAAGGAGAAACCCUUCUGCUUUGAGGUGUCAGUGAAGGCCAAGAUCCUUGAUUUUCCCAGGAUGUGACAAUAAUGCCAUUUUCCUUCACCUAUCAGAGAGGUGUCAGAGGAGGCUCUCUAAAACACAAGAUUUAAUGAGAUCAAGGAUCUCAUAAUAGAGUACCUUAAAUGCCCAGAAUAUAAAAAAAUCUUCUGUUACACCAAGUCAUUAAAUGUUAAACAUCGAUCUUAAAAUUUCUUUGAUAAGUAAUUGUCAAUAUGCUUGAACCAAAUGAAGAAAUAGAAAUUCUUAACAAAAUAUAGACAAUAGAAAAAAGAAUAAAAUGAUAAUUUGAAAUUGAAGAAUUACUGAAAUUAGAAACUCAGUGGAUAAAGCCAGCAACAGAAUGGAGAGGACAGAAAAGAGAAUCCAUGAAUUUAAAGACAGAACAAUAAAACACACGAAUUUGAACAUAAGAGAGAAAAAAUAGAUGAAAAAAUGAACAGAGCCUAAGGGACUUUUGUGAUUAUGACAAAAUGUCUAAUAUUUGUGUCAUUAGAAUGGAGAAAAAAAGGAGAUAAAAGGUGGGGCUGAGAAGUGGAAUAUAUACUAGUAAAACCUGAAUAUUGCCCUGGCAUUUGAAUAUUUGAGUUUCUGGCUGAUCAAUGUGACUUAAUCCCUUCCUCUCUCCCUCCCUCCCUCCCUCCCUCCCUUCUCUCCUCUGAGCAGAACAUUUCAAGGUUCAGCCACAUUGUGGAGCCUGUUCUUAAAAUUUCUGCAUUUAGAGGUGAGACUUUGCUGUAUUAGGGUUCUCCAGAGAAAGAGAAGCAAUAGGAUUUGUAUAUGUAUAGAAAGGUAUUUAUUUUAAGGAAUUGACUCACAUAGUUGUGGAGGUUUGCCAAAUUCAAAAUCUGUUGGAGGAGGCCAGAAGUUUGGAGAUGUAGGAAAGAGUUGCAGUUCUAGUGCAAACGCAAUCUGCAGUAGAACUAGUGUCUUAGCACAUUUGGGCUUCUAUAUAACAAAAGUACUAUAACUGGGAACCAUAUAAACCACGGAAAUUUGUUUCUCCCAGUUUUGGAGACUGGGAAGACCAAGAUUGAGGUACAGGCAGAUUCAGUAUGCUGUGGUACUGGCAAAUCAGGAGGGCCUGAUUUGUAGUUCAUAGAGUGUAACUUUUUGCUGUAACCUUACGUGGCAGACGGGGGCAAAUGAGCUCUCUGGGACUUCUUUUAUAAGAGCACAAAUCCCAUUCAUGAAGGCUUUGCCCUCAUGACCUAAGCACCCCUCAGAGGUCUUACCUCCUGACACCAUUACACCUGGAUAUUAGGUUUCAAAAUAUGAAUUUUGGAGGGACAAAAACAUUAAAUCUAUAGCAGUCAGGAAGAGGCGAUAUUGAAAAUAAAGUUCAAAUGCAGUCUGUUGGAAAAUUCUCUUUUCCUGGGUUGGGGAGGUAAAUGUUUUGGUCUGUCCAGGCCUUCCAUUGAUUGGACGAGGCCUACCCACAAUGUGGAGGGCAGUCUGCUUUUCUCAGAGUCUACUGAUUUAAAUGUAAAUCUUAUCCAAAAACACCUUCACAAAAA
This is a long non-coding RNA of Mustela erminea (ermine), 2085 nucleotides long. RefSeq lists it as uncharacterized. The record is from RefSeq and is a predicted model, not a curated record. Lineage: Eukaryota; Metazoa; Chordata; Mammalia; Carnivora; Mustelidae. The transcript is spliced from 2 exons.